Molecule: unclassified non-coding RNA, 146 nt
Filed under: uncultured Capnodiales
Lineage: Eukaryota; Fungi; Ascomycota; Dothideomycetes; Capnodiales
Description: sequence contains ITS2
Source: RNAcentral
CACCACUCAAGCCUCGCUUGGUGUUGGGCUCCGCGGUCACACGCGCGCCCCAAUAGCACCGGCCGGUCACCCGAACUCCGAGCGUAGAAGCAAAACACUUUCGCUCACGAGCCGAGGGGAAUCGCGCCGUUAAAACCUCCAUCAAA